Molecule: ribosomal RNA, 1525 nt
Filed under: uncultured Bordetella sp.
Lineage: Bacteria; Pseudomonadati; Pseudomonadota; Betaproteobacteria; Burkholderiales; Alcaligenaceae
Description: partial 16S-23S ribosomal RNA intergenic spacer
Rfam family: Bacterial small subunit ribosomal RNA
Source: RNAcentral
GGUUCGAUCAUACCAGAUUGAAUGCCGGCGGAUGCUUUACAUGCAAGUCGAACGGCAGCACGGACUUCGGUCUGGUGGCGAGUGGCGAACGGGUGAGUAAUGUAUCGGAACGUGCCUAGUAGUUGUGGGGAUAACCCGCGAAAGGAAGCAUUACUGCAUGAAUGCCCCUUCGGGGGAAAAGCGGGGACCUUUUCGGGCUCGCACUAUUAGAGCGGCCGAUAUUGGAUUAGCUAGUUGGUAAGUAACGGCUCACCAAGGCGACGAUCCGUAGCUGGUUUGAGAGACGACCAGCCACACUGGGACCGAGACACGGCCCAGACUCCUACGGGAGGCAGUGGGGAAUUUUGGACAAUGGGGGAAACCCCGAUCCAGCCAUCCAUGUGUGCAAUGAAGGCCUUCGGGGUUGUAAAGCACUUUUGGCAGGUAGUAAGAAACGGCACGGGAUAAUACCCUGUGCAACUGAUUGCGCCUGGCGGGUGAAUAAGCACCGGCUAACCACGUGCCAGCAGCCGCGGUAAUACGUAGGGUGCAAGCGUUAAUCGGAAUUAUCGGCGUAAAAGCGUGCGCAGGCGGUUCGAAAAAGAAAGAUGUGAAAUCCCAGAGCUUAACUUUGGAACUGCAUUUUUUAACUACCGAGCUCGGGAGUGUGUCAGAGGAGGUGGAAUUCCGCGCGGUAGCAGGAAAUGCGUAGAUACGGCGGAGGAACACCGUGAUGGCGAAGGCAGCCUCCUGAUAACACUCGACGCUCAUGCACGAAAGCGUGGGGAGCAAAACAGGAUUAGAUACCCCAGUAGUCCACGCCCUAAACGAUGUCAACUAGCUGUUGGGGCCUUCGGGCCUUGGUAGCGCAGCUUAACGCGGUGAAGUUGACCGCCGGCCUGGGGAGUACGGCCAAAGAUUAAAACUCAAAGGAAUUGACGGGGACCCGCACAAGCGGUGGAUGAUGCGUAGGAUUAAUUCGAUGCAACGCGAAAAAAACCUUACCUACCCUGACAUGUCUGGAACUCGAAGAGAUUUGGGAGUGCUCGCGGAAAGAGAACCGGAACACAGGUGCUGCAUGCAGCCGUCGUCAAAGGCUCGUGUCGUGAGAUGCUGUUGGGUUAAGUCCCGCAACGAGCGCAACCCUGUCAUUAGUUGCUACGAAAGGGCACUCUAAUGAGAUCGCCGGUGACAAACUGAGGUAUGCGUGGGAUGACGUCAAGUCCUCGUAGCUGGCCCCAUGGGUAGGGCUUCAUCAUCUGCCAUAUACAAUGGUCGGGACAGAGGGUCGCCAACCCGCGAGGGGAGCCAAUCCAGAAACCCGAUCGUAGUCCGGAUCGCAGUCUGCAACUCGACUGCGUGAAGUCGGAAUCGCUAGUAAUCGCGGAUCACACUGUCAGUGGUGAAUACGUUCCCGUGGGCCUCGCACACACCGCCCGUCAGCACUACGGGAGUGGGUUUUACCAGAAGUAGUUAGCCUAACCGUAAGGAGGGCGAUUACCACGGUAUAGGACUACGACUGGGGUGAAGUCGUAAUACAAGGUAA